UACGUAGGGCGCAAGCGUUAUCCGGAAUUAUUGGGCGUAAAGCGCUCGCAGGCGGUUUCUUAAGUCUGAUGUGAAAGCCCACGGCUCAACCGUGGAGGGUCAUUGGAAACUGGGAGACUUGAGUGCAGAAGAGGAGAGUGGAAUUCCACGUGUAGCGGUGAAAUGCGUAGAGAUGUGGAGGAACACCAGUGGCGAAGGCGACUCUCUGGUCUGUAACUGACGCUGAGGAGCGAAAGCGUGGGGAGCAAACAGG
Molecule: ribosomal RNA, 253 nt
Filed under: uncultured bacterium
Lineage: Bacteria
Description: partial 16S ribosomal RNA
Rfam family: Bacterial small subunit ribosomal RNA
Source: RNAcentral